GGCCAGCAUCAAGAGUUGGGAUCUCGUAUCCCGACGCCAACCUGCCGGUAUCCGGGCAAGGUGGCGCCUUUGCGCAAGCGAAGGGAUGUGGCCGCAGCGGCAACCAAACGGAGCCAA
RNAcentral lists this non-coding RNA (117 nucleotides) under Novosphingobium sp. Fuku2-ISO-50. RNAcentral's name for it is "SAM-I/IV (S-adenosyl methionine) riboswitch aptamer". It matches the Rfam family "SAM-I/IV (S-adenosyl methionine) riboswitch aptamer". Rfam says of the family: It is found upstream of a number of genes which code for proteins involved in methionine or cysteine biosynthesis. RNAcentral also lists the same sequence under 1 other name. The record is from Rfam by way of RNAcentral. Lineage: Bacteria; Pseudomonadati; Pseudomonadota; Alphaproteobacteria; Sphingomonadales; Sphingomonadaceae.